Molecule: ribosomal RNA, 522 nt
Filed under: uncultured bacterium
Lineage: Bacteria
Description: bacterial SSU rRNA
Rfam family: Bacterial small subunit ribosomal RNA
Source: RNAcentral
CCAGAGAAUUUAGCAGAGAUGCUUAGUGCCUUCGGGAACUCUGAGACAGGUGCUGCAUGGCUGUCGUCAGCUCGUGUUGUGAAAUGUUGGGUUAAGUCUCGCAACGAGCGCAACCCUUUAUCCUUUGUUGCCAGCACGUAAUGGUGGGAACUCAAAGGAGACUGCCGGUGAUAAACCGGAGGAAGGUGGGGAUGACGUCAAGUCAUCAUGGCCCUUACGAGUAGGGCUACACACGUGCUACAAUGGCGCAUACAAAGAGAAGCGACCUCGCGAGAGCAAGCGGACCUCAUAAAGUGCGUCGUAGUCCGGAUUGGAGUCUGCAACUCGACUCCAUGAAGUCGGAAUCGCUAGUAAUCGUAAAUCAGAAUGUUACGGUGAAUACGUUCCCGGGCCUUGUACACACCGCCCGUCACACCAUGGGAGUGGGUUGCAAAAGAAGUAGAUAGCUUAACCUUCGGGAGGGCGUUUACCACUUUGUGAUUCAUGACUGGGGUGAAGUCGUAACAAGGUAAGCGUAGUGCU